This 1522-nucleotide ribosomal RNA is filed under the name metagenome. RNAcentral's name for it is "bacterial SSU rRNA". It matches the Rfam family "Bacterial small subunit ribosomal RNA". The record is from RNAcentral.
AGAGUUUGAUCAUGGCUCAGAUUGAACGCUGGCGGCAGGCCUAACACAUGCAAGUCGAACGGUAACAGGAAGCAGCUUGCUGCUUCGCUGACGAGUGGCGGACGGGUGAGUAAUGUCUGGGAAGCUGCCUGAUGGAGGGGGAUAACUACUGGAAACGGUAGCUAAUACCGCAUAAUGUCGCAAGACCAAAGAGGGGGACCUUCGGGCCUCUUGCCAUCGGAUGUGCCCAGAUGGGAUUAGCUUGUUGGUGGGGUAACGGCUCACCAAGGCGACGAUCCCUAGCUGGUCUGAGAGGAUGACCAGCCACACUGGAACUGAGACACGGUCCAGACUCCUACGGGAGGCAGCAGUGGGGAAUAUUGCACAAUGGGCGCAAGCCUGAUGCAGCCAUGCCGCGUGUAUGAAGAAGGCCUUCGGGUUGUAAAGUACUUUCAGCGGGGAGGAAGGGAGUAAAGUUAAUACCUUUGCUCAUUGACGUUACCCGCAGAAGAAGCACCGGCUAACUCCGUGCCAGCAGCCGCGGUAAUACGGAGGGUGCAAGCGUUAAUCGGAAUUACUGGGCGUAAAGCGCACGCAGGCGGUUUGUUAAGUCAGAUGUGAAAUCCCCGGGCUCAACCUGGGAACUGCAUCUGAUACUGGCAAGCUUGAGUCUCGUAGAGGGGGGUAGAAUUCCAGGUGUAGCGGUGAAAUGCGUAGAGAUCUGGAGGAAUACCGGUGGCGAAGGCGGCCCCCUGGACGAAGACUGACGCUCAGGUGCGAAAGCGUGGGGAGCAAACAGGAUUAGAUACCCUGGUAGUCCACGCCGUAAACGAUGUCGACUUGGAGGUUGUGCCCUUGAGGCGUGGCUUCCGGAGCUAACGCGUUAAGUCGACCGCCUGGGGAGUACGGCCGCAAGGUUAAAACUCAAAUGAAUUGACGGGGGCCCGCACAAGCGGUGGAGCAUGUGGUUUAAUUCGAUGCAACGCGAAGAACCUUACCUGGUCUUGACAUCCACGGAAGUUUUCAGAGAUGAGAAUGUGCCUUCGGGAACCGAGAGACAGGUGCUGCAUGGCUGUCGUCAGCUCGUGUUGUGAAAUGUUGGGUUAAGUCCCGCAACGAGCGCAACCCUUAUCCUUUGUUGCCAGCGGUCCGGCCGGGAACUCAAAGGAGACUGCCAGUGAUAAACUGGAGGAAGGUGGGGAUGACGUCAAGUCAUCAUGGCCCUUACGACCAGGGCUACACACGUGCUACAAUGGCGCAUACAAAGAGAAGCGACCUCGCGAGAGCAAGCGGACCUCAUAAAGUGCGUCGUAGUCCGGAUUGGAGUCUGCAACUUGACUCCAUGAAGUCGGAAUCGCUAGUAAUCGUGGAUCAGAAUGCCACGGUGAAUACGUUCCCGGGCCUUGUACACACCGCCCGUCACACCAUGGGAGUGGGUUGCAAAAGAAGUAGGUAGCUUAACCUUCGGGAGGGCGCUUACCACUUUGUGAUUCAUGACUGGGGUGAAGUCGUAACAAGGUAACCGUAGGGGAACCUGCGGUUG